RNAcentral lists this ribosomal RNA (253 nucleotides) under uncultured bacterium. RNAcentral's name for it is "partial 16S ribosomal RNA". It matches the Rfam family "Bacterial small subunit ribosomal RNA", at positions 524 to 776 of the family's 1533-position model. The record is from RNAcentral.
UACGUAGGGUGCAAGCGUUGUCCGGAAUUACUGGGCGUAAAGGGCUCGUAGGUGGCCAACUAAGUCAGACGUGAAAUCCCCAGGCUCAACUUGGGAACUGCGUCUGAUACUGGAUGGCUUGAAUUCGGGAGAGGGAUGCAGAAUUCCAGGUGUAGCGGUGAAAUGCGUAGAUAUCUGGAGGAAUACCGGUGGCGAAGGCGGCAUCCUGGACCGAGAUUGACACUGAUGAGCGAAAGCCAGGGGAGCAAACGGG